Molecule: non-coding RNA, 954 nt
Organism: Rhopilema esculentum
Lineage: Eukaryota; Metazoa; Cnidaria; Scyphozoa; Rhizostomeae; Rhizostomatidae
Source: RefSeq, a predicted model, not a curated record
AGAAAGUAGACGUAGCAUUCAAUUUACAAACUAAUUUGACGUCACAGAAAAAUGGAAUAUAUAAAAGUGAAUGGCGAAGGGUGACGGAACAGAAGAAAAUGAAGAAUGCGAACAUGGCAUACACGACAUCUUACCAACCAUGGUACACAGCCCUGGGCAAUGGGCCUAAAUUUGCAAGAACGUUGAAAAUCCAACACAAAGGCCUUCAAAAUGUAAAUGGAAAACAACCAAGGAGACAGGGGACAAUUGCUGAGAAUGGACCGGAAUCUGUGAAGCGAUAUGAGCUGACAAAUCAUAGCAGAAGAGAAAAUGAAUUGAUCAGUUUUAUGGCAUUGUGUCAAAAACAUCGACAAUUCUACCUAAAUCAGACUGGGAGACGUGAAAGGGUUCCUUUGUUUACGAUUCCAGCUAUAUCACACAGUGCGUUGGUGAAAAUGGGCCCUAAAGCUUAUUGCGAUGGAACUUACUACCAAAAUGUCACAAGAGAUCACAAGACAAUGGUGAAGCACAGCAGCGCGCAAAGACAUUCUACACAAAGAGAAAGAGAAAUUCGGGAUAUCUAUUUUGAAACACGGUGAAAGGAUUUGCCUAUUUUUGUUAAUAGACAGACAAAGAUUCAGCCAUUUUCUCUGUUUCAGAUAUAUUCAUGUAUUUCAAUUGAUAUAAGGUAUUUAUUAAAAACUUUGGGAAUUACAAUUUGCGUAGCAUUUGACGUUGAAGAGGCCAUAAAUUCAAUGGAGCUAUAAUUAUCUGAUGUCUAAGAGACACAGGCAUUAUCAAAAAGGUGGGGAAAUAAUAAUUUCCUGUAACGAAAGAGGGGAACAUAUUCUCUUAAAUUUUUAAAAAUUUGCAAAAUUUCAUUGGGAUAGUUUCUGGACAGUACUGCUAAAGGAUAGCAUUUUCAACAGCCAAGCAAAAUGUGCAUGAGGGGGGUAGUCACUGCCACAAAGAGCC